This 608-nucleotide ribosomal RNA is filed under the name Priestia sp. RNAcentral's name for it is "bacterial SSU rRNA". It matches the Rfam family "Bacterial small subunit ribosomal RNA", at positions 61 to 649 of the family's 1533-position model. Lineage: Bacteria; Bacillati; Bacillota; Bacilli; Caryophanales; Bacillaceae. The record is from RNAcentral.
UUCGAGCGAACUGAUUAGAAAGCUUGCUUCUAUGACGUUAGCGGCGGACGGGUGAGUAACACGUGGGCAACCUGCCUGUAAGACUGGGAUAACUUCGGGAAACCGAAGCUAAUACCGGAUAGGAUCUUCUCCUUCAUGGGAGAUGAUUGAAAGAUGGUUUCGGCUAUCACUUACAGAUGGGCCCGCGGUGCAUUAGCUAGUUGGUGAGGUAACGGCUCACCAAGGCAACGAUGCAUAGCCGACCUGAGAGGGUGAUCGGCCACACUGGGACUGAGACACGGCCCAGACUCCUACGGGAGGCAGCAGUAGGGAAUCUUCCGCAAUGGACGAAAGUCUGACGGAGCAACGCCGCGUGAGUGAUGAAGGCUUUCGGGUCGUAAAACUCUGUUGUUAGGGAAGAACAAGUACAAGAGUAACUGCUUGUACCUUGACGGUACCUAACCAGAAAGCCACGGCUAACUACGUGCCAGCAGCCGCGGUAAUACGUAGGUGGCAAGCGUUAUCCGGAAUUAUUGGGCGUAAAGCGCGCGCAGGCGGUUUCUUAAGUCUGAUGUGAAAGCCCACGGCUCAACCGUGGAGGGUCAUUGGAAACUGGGGAACUUGAGUGC